Long non-coding RNA from Haliotis rubra (blacklip abalone), 102 nucleotides. RefSeq lists it as uncharacterized. NCBI's taxonomy places the organism in Eukaryota, Metazoa, Mollusca, Gastropoda, Lepetellida, Haliotidae. The transcript is spliced from 3 exons. The record is from RefSeq and is a predicted model, not a curated record.
AUUAAACCUAGCAAGUAACUUUUAAAAUUAGACAAAUAGUACAGACAAUACAAUAUAAAAACGGGCUGGAGAUCAUCAGCAACUGAUGUGAAUAUUCAAAAU